RNAcentral lists this unclassified non-coding RNA (377 nucleotides) under uncultured Cellulomonadaceae bacterium. RNAcentral's name for it is "contains 16S-23S intergenic spacer region". Lineage: Bacteria; Bacillati; Actinomycetota; Actinomycetes; Micrococcales; Cellulomonadaceae. The record is from RNAcentral.
UCCGAGUUGACCCCGGCAGUCUCCCAUGAGUCCCCGGCACUACCCGCUGGCAACAUGGGACGAGGGUUGCGCUCGUUGCGGGACUUAACCCAACAUCUCACGACACGAGCUGACGACAACCAUGCACCACCUGUACACCGACCUUGCGGGGAGCACAUCUCUGCACUUUUCCGGUGUAUGUCAAGCCUUGGUAAGGUUCUUCGCGUUGCAUCGAAUUAAUCCGCAUGCUCCGCCGCUUGUGCGGGCCCCCGUCAAUUUCUUUGAGUUUUAGCCUUGCGGCCGUACUCCCCAGGCGGGGCACUUAAUGCGUUUGCUGCGGCACGGAACUCGUGGAAUGAGCCCCACACCUAGUGCCCAACGUUUACGGCAUGGACUAC